UCUUUGGGGGGGGCUACAAUGCAGUCGAACGAUGAUGCCCAGCUUGCUGGGUGGAUUAGUGGCGAACGGGUGAGUAACACGUGAGUAACCUGCCCUUGACUUCGGGAUAACUCCGGGAAACCGGGGCUAAUACCGGAUAUGAGCUACCUUCGCAUGGGGGUGGUUGGAAAGUUUUUCGGUCAAGGAUGGGCUCGCGGCCUAUCAGCUUGUUGGUGGGGUGAUGGCCUACCAAGGCGACGACGGGUAGCCGGCCUGAGAGGGCGACCGGCCACACUGGGACUGAGACACGGCCCAGACUCCUACGGGAGGCAGCAGUGGGGAAUAUUGCACAAUGGGCGAAAGCCUGAUGCAGCGACGCCGCGUGAGGGAUGAAGGCCUUCGGGUUGUAAACCUCUUUCAGCAGGGAAGAAGCGCAAGUGACGGUACCUGCAGAAGAAGCGCCGGCUAACUACGUGCCAGCAGCCGCGGUAAUACGUAGGGCGCAAGCGUUGUCCGGAAUUAUUGGGCGUAAAGAGCUCGUAGGCGGUUUGUCGCGUCUGGUGUGAAAACUCGAGGCUCAACCUCGAGCUUGCAUCGGGUACGGGCAGACUAGAGUGCGGUAGGGGAGACUGGAAUUCCUGGUGUAGCGGUGGAAUGCGCAGAUAUCAGGAGGAACACCGAUGGCGAAGGCAGGUCUCUGGGCCGCAACUGACGCUGAGGAGCGAAAGCAUGGGGAGCGAACAGGAUUAGAUACCCUGGUAGUCCAUGCCGUAAACGUUGGGCACUAGGUGUGGGGCUCAUUCCACGAGUUCCGUGCCGCAGCAAACGCAUUAAGUGCCCCGCCUGGGGAGUACGGCCGCAAGGCUAAAACUCAAAGGAAUUGACGGGGGCCCGCACAAGCGGCGGAGCAUGCGGAUUAAUUCGAUGCAACGCGAAGAACCUUACCAAGGCUUGACAUGCACGGGAAGCCACCAGAGAUGGUGGUCUCUUUGGACACUCGUGCACAGGUGGUGCAUGGUUGUCGUCAGCUCGUGUCGUGAGAUGUUGGGGUUAAGUCCCGCAACGAGCGCAACCCUCGUCCCAUGUUGCCAGCGGGUUAUGCCGGGGAC
This 1088-nucleotide ribosomal RNA is filed under the name bacterium AW19. RNAcentral's name for it is "bacterial SSU rRNA". It matches the Rfam family "Bacterial small subunit ribosomal RNA", at positions 34 to 1138 of the family's 1533-position model. The record is from RNAcentral.